RNAcentral lists this long non-coding RNA (595 nucleotides) under Triticum aestivum (bread wheat). RNAcentral's name for it is "long non-coding RNA (TAES_LNC019905)". The record is from RNAcentral. Lineage: Eukaryota; Viridiplantae; Streptophyta; Magnoliopsida; Poales; Poaceae.
UCGGUAUGAUCAUUCUUUCAUCAGUUUGUUCCCUGUUUCUUCUCUAGCCUGAGCCUGACACACUAUUCUAGCUAGACAUGGGUGUGGCUCGUGACACCUGAUGACCAAAUGGAUCUACGGCACCGUCGAAUCUCAAACUUUAACUGCCAAAACUAUUGUUUUUCAUCCUGUAGUCCCUUUUAGAAUUACGAAACGUCCUUUUUUGGGCCAUGAUUUCCAGGAAUGCUUUCUCGGGGUUUGUGUGCACGUAUUUCAAACCAUACGGACCUAAAAAUUAGAAGUCAUUCCAUCUUUAUUCCCCUAGAGCCUUCCGGCAGUUCCUAAACUGCUCUAUUUGGAGCAUGUUAUCAUUCUUGUUAGUUCUGAGUGAAUUCCCUCGGUAUGAUCAUUCUUUCAUCAGUUUGUUCCCCGUUUCUUCUCUAGUCUGAGCCUAGCACACUAUUCUAGCUAUUAAUGGGUGUGGAUCGUAACACCUGAUGAGCAAACGGAUCUACGGCACCAUCGAAUCUCAAACUUUAACUGCCAAAACUAUUGUUUUUCAUUCUGUAGUCCCUUUUCGAAUUAUUAAACGUCCUUUUUUGGGCCGAGAUUUCCA